RNAcentral lists this long non-coding RNA (520 nucleotides) under Sarcophilus harrisii (Tasmanian devil). RNAcentral's name for it is "lncRNA (ENSSHAG00000023444.1)". The record is from RNAcentral. Lineage: Eukaryota; Metazoa; Chordata; Mammalia; Dasyuromorphia; Dasyuridae.
CUGAUUUGGAUGAGAGCAAGCAAUCUGGGCAGGAUUUUCUCUGGUCUUGCUAGCAGGCCCACUGAUUUGGCAGAUGGAAAGAAGGAAGCUUCAUUGGGCAAUCUCUAAAACACAAGGAAACUUAGAUGAAGAGAAAAUCAAGACCUAUAAAAGAGGAGAGACUGUUCCCAAUGGACAUCAAGGAGAAAAGAGGUACCUCUUGAACCCUUAAGUCACACACAAAAGAACAUCUGGAAGAAAAACUCAAGAUCAACUAGAGGAGGGAGUAUACCAUUUUUGAUUAAUCCUAAAAAGGAGUUUAGCUUGGAUCUACAAUAUGAAUAAGAACCAAAACAGGGACUCCACUAUCCUACAGGUGCUUAUAGCCAUCAGAGUUCUCUCUGUUACUCCAUUCACCAGACAUGUGAUUGUGUCUGUAACCUGUGUGAUCAGCACACCUGAACCCAAUGUCCAGUGACUGUGGAGGAUUCUUCAAUCUUCCCCUUCUCAGCUGUCUGACCCCCAUUCUGUCUAUGAGGUA